AGAAUGCCUCUGAAAAGACAUCCGUGAGCAAGGCUCAGCCCACCCUGGUGGUGCUUUCUGAAGGUGAUGGAAUCAGAAGGGGUUGGGGCAUAAUGUGGACAGCAAGCAUUCCACUGACAGAGUCAGCUCCCCAGCCCCAGAGGGACACCUUCUGAAGGACAUGUUUUCUUCUGGAUGCUUCCUUUCUCUCAUCCUUAUUCCCAGACACCCUGAGUUCUCCUCUGGAUUUGGUCAGCUCUCAUCUUCCAAGUGACAGUAACCCAGCCUCCCGGACCAACUAUCAGUGGUGACACAGGGAAAUGAAUGUGCACAUAGGUGCCACCUCAGUUGUCCUGUCAUCAAGGC
Molecule: non-coding RNA, 345 nt
Organism: Cricetulus griseus (Chinese hamster)
Lineage: Eukaryota; Metazoa; Chordata; Mammalia; Rodentia; Cricetidae
Source: RefSeq, a predicted model, not a curated record